Molecule: ribosomal RNA, 327 nt
Filed under: uncultured bacterium
Lineage: Bacteria
Description: bacterial SSU rRNA
Rfam family: Bacterial small subunit ribosomal RNA
Source: RNAcentral
GACGUUAGCUGCAGAAGAAGCACCGGCUAACUCCGUGCCAGCAGCCGCGGUAAUACGGAGGGUGCGAGCGUUAAUCGGAAUUACUGGGCGUAAAGACGCAUGCAGGUGGUUUGUUAAGUCAGAUGUGAAAGACCCGGGCGUCAACCUACGGAAUAGCAUUUGAAACUGGCAGACUAGAGUACUGUAGAGGGGGGUAGGAAUUUCAGGUGUAGCGGUGAAAUGCGUAGAGAUCUGAAGGAAUACCGGUGGCGAAGGCGGCCCCCUGGACAGAUACUGACACUCAGAUGCGAAAGCGUGGGGAGCAAACAGGAUUAGAUACCCUGGUAG